UGAUUUUGUUCAGCGCCGCGUAAAUCUGACCGAACCAUCCGGCAGCUGACUUCAGUGCUUUAAUUACAGAUAGUAUUGAUCCGGGAGCUAUCUCCAGGGCUGGCCACACUCCUUGUAGCGUCCAAAGAACAGAGACCUGACUGGCCGGACACACAUCUCUGCUGCAUUUUCAUAUUCUCCAAAAGUCCCCCAUUAAAAAGCUGAGCGGGGAACAAGGGUGCCACAUACUGUAGCAGAGACAAUCCCCAUCUGGAACCCUCUCUCCACGAGUCUCCUGGAAGGGCGCAAAACAAAAACCCGACACGACGACAACCACCACCACCACAACAACAACAACAACAACCACCAAUCCUCCAAACUCCAGCCUUUCCUCCGGCGGGGAGAAAACCCCGUGAAAAGCGGCCCCGGCUCCCCGGCCGUCGGGGCAGCCCCGGCCACUGCUCUCGGCCCGUUCCGCGCCGCCCCACCGGGACCCGGCCCCAGGACCUGCCGGGACCCUCGGGCCGGCCCCACCGCGGCAGAAACAUCGCCGAGCGUCCCGCCAGAGAGACCGAAGCAGUCUCCGGUGCUGUUCUGGCCCGCAGCCAGCCGGCUGGGGCAUGGGGGAGGGGGGUGGAAGGGGUAAGGGGGGGAUUCCUUGCGACUAAUUUCCCUGCUUUUAUUUUUCGUCUUUCUGCCCUCCUGAACUGGUUCGUCGCAUCCCCUCUGUCGGCUGGAAAUGAGCGAAAAUUCACCCGAUAAACUGUGUUUCUGCUGUAGGGUCUAAAGGGGAGGUUGUCCCCCUCGCCCUCGCAUUUGUUCUGGGGGCUUUUCCCCUAACAUCCAACUCCUUCUUGAGGGUCACACCAGCCCCGCAGCAAAACGACGGG
Long non-coding RNA from Passer domesticus (house sparrow), 869 nucleotides. RefSeq lists it as uncharacterized. Lineage: Eukaryota; Metazoa; Chordata; Aves; Passeriformes; Passeridae. The transcript is spliced from 3 exons. The record is from RefSeq and is a predicted model, not a curated record.